AUACGUAGGGUGCAAGCGUUAAUCGGAAUUACUGGGCGUAAAGCGUGCGCAGGCGGUUUUGUAAGACAGUGGUGAAAUCCCCGGGCUCAACCUGGGAACUGCCAUGGUGACUGCAAGGCUGGAGUGCGGCAGAGGGGGAUGGAAUUCCGCGUGGAGCCGUGCAAUGCGUAGAUAUGCGGAGGAACACCGAUGGCGAAGGCAAUCCCCUGGGCCUGCACUGACGCUCAUGCACGAAAGCGUGGGGAGCAAACAGGAUUAGAUACCCUGGUAGUCCACGCCCUAAACGAUGUCAACUGGUUGUUGGGGAUUUAUUUUCUCAGUAACGAAGCUAACGCGUGAAGUUGACCGCCUGGGGAGUACGGCCGCAAGGUUAAAACUCAAAGGAAUUGACGGGG
RNAcentral lists this ribosomal RNA (395 nucleotides) under uncultured bacterium. RNAcentral's name for it is "partial 16S ribosomal RNA". It matches the Rfam family "Bacterial small subunit ribosomal RNA", at positions 523 to 918 of the family's 1533-position model. The record is from RNAcentral.